GCCGGGCGCAGUGGCGCACACCUGUAAUCCCAGCGGCUUGGGAAGCUGAGGCAGGAGGAUAGCAAGUUUGAGGACAGCAAGUUCGAGGCCAGCCUCUGCAACUUGGUGAGGCCUUAAGCAACUUAGUGAGACCCUGUCUCCA
Molecule: small RNA, 142 nt
Filed under: Marmota monax (woodchuck)
Lineage: Eukaryota; Metazoa; Chordata; Mammalia; Rodentia; Sciuridae
Source: RNAcentral